AUUGAACGCUGGCGGCAGGCUUAACACAUGCAAGUCGAACGGUAACAUAAAGAAGCUUGCUUCUUUGAUGACGAGUGGCGGACGGGUGAGUAAUGCUUGGGAAUCUGGCUUAUGGAGGGGGAUAACUACGGGAAACUGUAGCUAAUACCGCGUAGAAUCGGGAGAUGAAAGUGUGGGACCUUCGGGCCACAUGCCAUAGGAUGAGCCCAAGUGGGAUUAGGUAGUUGGUGAGGUAAAGGCUCACCAAGCCGACGAUCUCUAGCUGGUCUGAGAGGAUGACCAGCCACACUGGGACUGAGACACGGCCCAGACUCCUACGGGAGGCAGCAGUGGGGAAUAUUGCGCAAUGGGGGCAACCCUGACGCAGCCAUGCCGCGUGAAUGAAGAAGGCCUUCGGGUUGUAAAGUUCUUUCGGUAGCGAGGAAGGCAUUUAGUUUAAUAGACUAGGUGAUUGACGUUAACUACAGAAGAAGCACCGGCUAACUCCGUGCCAGCAGCCGCGGUAAUACGGAGGGUGCGAGCGUUAAUCGGAAUAACUGGGCGUAAAGGGCACGCAGGCGGUGACUUAAGUGAGGUGUGAAAGCCCCGGGCUUAACCUGGGAAUUGCAUUUCAUACUGGGUCGCUAGAGUACUUUAGGGAGGGGUAGAAUUCCACGUGUAGCGGUGAAAUGCGUAGAGAUGUGGAGGAAUACCGAAGGCGAAGGCAGCCCCUUGGGAAUGUACUGACGCUCAUGUGCGAAAGCGUGGGGAGCAAACAGG
RNAcentral lists this ribosomal RNA (759 nucleotides) under Parahaemophilus parainfluenzae. RNAcentral describes it as "Haemophilus parainfluenzae bacterial SSU rRNA". It matches the Rfam family "Bacterial small subunit ribosomal RNA", at positions 28 to 776 of the family's 1533-position model. The record is from RNAcentral. Lineage: Bacteria; Pseudomonadati; Pseudomonadota; Gammaproteobacteria; Pasteurellales; Pasteurellaceae.